CAGUCUUUUAAUGUUCUCGGAAAAACUUUUGGAUUGGAGAGAAAAACUGUAUAUGAAAAUUUGUAGUUUGUUUUAGGAUCAGAUGCAUAUAUGUUUGUAUUGUAUGUGACAAUAGACACAAUACAAUGCAUUGUUGAUCUUCAUAAACUUUGGUCUAUAACUUCUUGAGACAUGGUCAUAGCAGAUAAAUUUAGUAGGUUGGUCACACUUUUACUUCACUAACCCAAAGAUUAUAGUAAUUUCAACAGAUUGAUUGUCAUAUAACCAACAUUCCAAAAUUGUACCUAAACUCGUCUUCCCUUUAUAAAGGGUUUAUUGGCAAAGUAGACACUUUUUCAAAAAUAAUUUGCAAAGUAGGUAGUUUUUUUAGAAAUUAGAGAUAUAGACAUUUUUUUUGCUUUUUGUGAGAUAGAGGAUAUGUCUAAUAGACUAAAAAACAAAAUACAUAUCAAAUACUAUAAUACCUUUUAUCUUGAGAGAGAAUAAAAAUAAUAUGAGAGACCAUGUUUACUUUAUUUUAUUUGUCUUUAUCUUUUUAAUUUUUAUUUUAGUUUUCUUAAAUAAUUUUUAAAAAAAAUUACGUUGACUUUUAGAGUAUUUAUAUGUCAUCAAUUUAAUACACAAACAUUUCAAAGAUCGUUUUGUACACUAAACAUUAUUCAUUGGUGUACAAAUGUGUAUACCGAUAUUCAUAAAUAGAAGUAAUAUUGUUUUUAAUAUUUUACAAAUAUAAUGAUUGCAUAAACCAAAUAUUAUUACUUAAUAUAAUGGUGUACAUGAUGGUGUACAUGAUUAAGUUAAUCUUGAUGGUGUACAAAAUGAAUGAAACUAUUAUGACGAUUGAAUAGAAUGUGUAUAUAACUUUUAAAUGAUAGCAUACAAUAUUGGUAAACAAAGUGUACAAAACUUGGUGUACACUUACAGGGAAUGUAUAAAUUAUUAUUUCAGUUAGUGGUGUACGUCAUCUCGUACACCAAUUUUAGUACACUGUCUCAUAGAUCUUUAGAGGUGUACGAUCAUGUACACCAUAUUUUCAAUCAUCUAUGUACAUCAUUUUGUAUACUAUUAUACUCACUCUAUCACUUCUUACAAUAAUAUUAUAUAUUGAUUUUUACAUUAUUGUCGUACACUAAUAUUUGUACACCAGUAUUAAUAAUAUCACGUACACUGUCGGCUGGGAUUAAAUAAAAAAAUGCUACAUAUUUUUGAAAUAUAGCAAAAUUAGUCUUUUUAGAUUCACAUAAAAAAUUUAAAAGUCAAUAUGAUUAUAUGGUAAUUUUUUAUGAAGAAUUAUUAUCAAACAAAGUAAAAAUAUUAAGUAAAAAGAAAAAUAAGAAAAAGUAAAAUUUGACUUGAAUUUUGUCUUUAUCUUACUACAUAACAAAAUAACAAAAGGUUAUAUAAGUCAUUUCUAAAAUCUCUAUUAGACAAAAAGUUGUAUUAGAGAGAAAAGAGAAAAUUGUUUAUUUCUUUUAUUUCUAUAAAAACUACCUACUUUGCAAAUUAUUUGUUGAAAAAGUGUCUACUUUCCGACUUAUCUCUUCUAUAAAUAAACAGACAACACACAGAGAGACAUUCAACUUCAAGGGACGAUUUUCCUCUCAUAGCAACAAAACAAAUCACCUCAAAGAUAAAAACUUGGAACAUAAACCAACGAAAUGGCUCCGUCUAAUGAUCAUUUGCCUUUUUCUAGUCCUCACCUCCGCUUCAUUCUUCUAGAAUUCUUCACCUAAGAAAGCUUUCAGAGACGAGGAAAUAUGAAAUGUACCAUUUUAUACCGUCCUACUAAAUGUGUCUGUCUCUUACAGCAAGAGAUCCGUUCCGUAGAGAAAAGACUGGUGAGAGGUGGUACAGUUCAAAGGCUGAGAUUAAUCUACGAAGCCUGGAGCGCACGCUAGGUGCUCGACGAAAUGCCACACUGAGAGGUCAUCACGUGCCAUGCACAUGACCAUUUCUUUAUCUCCCUCUUGCUCAGCCAACAGUUGUAU
RNAcentral lists this small RNA (1988 nucleotides) under Arabidopsis thaliana (thale cress). Its description in RNAcentral is "ATSL119130". The record is from RNAcentral. Lineage: Eukaryota; Viridiplantae; Streptophyta; Magnoliopsida; Brassicales; Brassicaceae.